AGUAAAAAGAACCUUAGUUGUCAACAAUUAAUUUUGCACCACCUUAGAGCAUCUCGUUUCUUGGGCAGUUGGUAGAUUUGAUUCCUGAACAUGUCAGAGUUGAGCAUGGGAUCAAAUAAAUAAAAUCCAACCAAACAACAGUGCAUGUAAGGUGUGAUGCACCAGCACCUCCACCUUGUCAAAUGCUUAGCUCUCAUUCACACACAGAUAUAUACUCCAACCUAUCACACUUCAGAACAUAGUUCUGAGACGUAGGCACAAUGUAUCAAAUUAUGUGUGAAGGCUGAAAUUGGUAAGAUGGCAUUCCUUGUGGUAUAAGCAAACCGAACAAAAAUAUGAACUUCCACGAAUACUUCCUCCUCUGGAAUAGGAAAGUGCUAGUUAGGAUAGCUUCAUCAUAAACUCGCUGCAUUACUCACUGGAUUUGAACACUGUUGUCAAGGAGAGCCUCCGCUGCUGAAUCAAGAUCAUGAGGGAAGAAAACCCUACAGGAAAUGUUACACUACAUAAGAAGCUUGAAUAGAUCAUUUUAUUCUCUUCAGACAGAAAGAAAAAGAACGAAAUAAAAAUGGUGUUGGCUUAUUAAUUAAGAGAGGAUCUCAUUAAAAAAAGGCACAUUUGAGAUAAGACAUAAUUAUUUCUUGUCAGAGAUACAAAUACUAGGGCAGCAUUAUAUAAUGGCGCAAAUUACCACAGAUUGACAUCCUUUUUCAAUUGGAAUGGCCAACAGCAUGUGUGAGUUCUAAAUCGUGAUCAUGUUAUGGUGAAGAUUUUAAAACAAUCUGAGCGUAUUUUGGUCAAAAUUGUGUAGGGUUCCCUCCCUAUUGAAUGGUGAUAAAGGUGAAUGCAGGGUGAGGCGGUACAGCGGCAACCUUCAUCUGUCGAAUUUUCUACUCAACGUAUGUUUCUCAAUAGCGUGGAAGACGUUUUGAUCAAAAACACAGCCAAGUUCUCUCUCAGUAGAUAGGCUAUGAUACAAAAGGACCUGAGAAAAAUAGGCCUAAUCCCAAUCACUCAAAUAUUUUCUUCAAAAAAACAGGUUGGAUGCACAUGAACGAACCAAUUGUGGUGAAGGUGAUAACCCUGGCUAUAAUUUAAUUGUUUAGGUUUGACCCAUCAAGAAAUUAACACAGCAGCGCAGAGAUUACAUGAUAUCUAAUAUUCUGGUAGCUCACUGAAUUUGAUCGUACCAAUUUCCUUCUUGUAGUAACCUCCUAAUGCUGCCGCACGUUGUGACUAAUUCUGCUACUUAAUGUUCCAAUAAGGACUUUUUAUAGCAUCUAGACAAAAAAAAGCUUUCUAUGGAACGCACAAAUGUUGUCCAAUUAUGAAAAUAACCUAGAGCAGCGUUAUUAAUGUUGAUGGAAGCAAUUUUGUCAUCGGUUAGCAUGCCUUCUAUCAAAUGAUCGAAUAAGUGAUAAUGACAGUAAUAAUCGGAAAACAAAACAGCAUCUUCCACAAGAUGAUCAUCUUUUAGUAUGUCUAAACACUACGAUAACAAUAAUGAUAAGAGAAGAUUUCAGCACUCAAAUCUCAUAUUUAAUUUGCCCUUUUCAAUAUCAGAUAUAUAAUUAUUACUCAUACAUGAUAGACAAGAAAACGGAACAAAGAAGAAUGGCCACAGAAUAUUUUUUUGGUUCAGCAGGCAAUCUUGAUGCUAACCUCCCAUUUCAAUUGCUCUAUACCCAUUGAAAACAUACAAGGACUUAUGUCAAUCCUGUCUUUGUGCUCCUAAAUUUCAGAUAGAAAUUUCUGUUAUUUCUCUAUCUUCAACUUCCCCCCGCGAUACAUGUUACGAAAACCUUCUAGCAAAUGUGAUAUGCAGUCAAUUUUGGAAUAAACUAAUAAAGUCUGAGAAUUUAGCAAUGGACUACAUUACAAAGAAUAUUCCACAGUACACUUUUUGUCCCAUAUUCUAAAUGAGAUCCUCAACAGUCUCCUUCAACCCAUAAAACAUACAUUUGGUUCAAAUACUGGCUUUCACAACUUGAACACUUGGUAACCAAUUUCAUGUGUACGUUUUCAUUUUUAAGAAGUUUAUUAUUACAAACCAUUCUCUACUGCCAAUUCUCCAUCUUUUUCCCGAGGGGUGCAAGUUCCCCCUUAUAAGCCAGAGUACAACGACACAUAAAGAACCAAAAAUAAAACAAAAUCUAGAAAAACUACCAACUUUCCCUAGUUAUCCAAUAAUACGCUAAAUAACUAAAAAGAGGAAAGCAACACAUAUUAUUUCUCCGCUUACUCUUACUCAAGGGAGAAUGGCUGGUAUCUUGAUUAGUCUCCAAUCCUUCAGCCCAUUGGUGGAGACAUACAAUAGCUUCACUGACCAUCGCCUGCAGGGCUUGAACUCUUGUUUCAAUGUUCUACAGCUCUGCUCGCACCUAACUCU
This 2389-nucleotide long non-coding RNA is filed under the name Spirodela polyrhiza (greater duckweed). RNAcentral's name for it is "long non-coding RNA (SPOL_LNC001915)". The record is from RNAcentral. Lineage: Eukaryota; Viridiplantae; Streptophyta; Magnoliopsida; Alismatales; Araceae.